RNAcentral lists this ribosomal RNA (501 nucleotides) under uncultured bacterium. RNAcentral's name for it is "partial 16S ribosomal RNA". It matches the Rfam family "Bacterial small subunit ribosomal RNA", at positions 28 to 523 of the family's 1533-position model. The record is from RNAcentral.
GAUGAACGCUGGCGGCGUGCCUAAUACAUGCAAGUCGAGGGGCAGCACAGGUAACAAUACUGGGUGGCGACCGGCAAACGGGUGCGGAACACGUACACAACUUACCUUAGAGUGGGGGAUAGCCCAGGGAAACUUGGAUUAAUACCCCAUAAAACAGGGGGCCCGCAUGGGCAUAUUGUUAAAGAUUUAUCGCUGUAAGAUGGGCGGUCCGUUAGACUAGGUAGUGGGUAGGGUUAAGGCCAACCAAGCCGACGAUCAUUAACUGGUGUGAGAGCACGACCAGUCACACGGGCACGGAGACACGGGCCCCGCUCCUACGGAAGGCAGCAGUAAGGAAUAUUGGUCAAUGGACGGAAGUCUGAACCAGCCAUGCGGCGUGAAGGAUGAAGGUCCUCUGGAUUGUAAACUUCUUUUAUAGGGGGCGAAAAAGGGCCUUUUUAGGUCAACUGACGGUACCCUAUGAAUAAGCACCGGCUAACUCCGUGCCAGCCGCCGCCGUAA